This is a non-coding RNA of Paenibacillus sp. Y412MC10, 99 nucleotides long. Lineage: Bacteria; Bacillati; Bacillota; Bacilli; Caryophanales; Paenibacillaceae. The record is from Rfam.
ACUACAAAUAACGAGCUUUUUCGUAUAAUCCCGGGAAUGGGCCCGGGAGUCUCUACAGGUCACCGUAAUGAUCUCGCUACGAAAAGAAGAGCGGCAAUA